Molecule: long non-coding RNA, 2419 nt
Organism: Oncorhynchus keta (chum salmon)
Lineage: Eukaryota; Metazoa; Chordata; Actinopteri; Salmoniformes; Salmonidae
Exons: 3
Source: RefSeq, a predicted model, not a curated record
UGUCCUAUAGGCCCUGGUCUAAAGUAGUGCCCUUAGUCCUAUAGGUCCUGGUCUAAAGUAGUGCCCUUAGUCCUAUAGACCCUGGUCUAAAGUAGUGCCAUUAGCCCUAUAGGCACUGGUCUAAAGUAGUGCACUAUAUAUGGAAUAGGGUGCCAUUUGAGGCACACACAAGUAGGAGUGUGAACGUUUCAAAUAGUGAUCUUGAACUUUAAGAAAAAUCCCUAACAGAAAAACAGUUGUUUUGGUGGCCUAGUGAUGGAAGUCAGAUCCCGCUGCCUGUUCAAUGGUGCUUCUAAACCAUCUCCAGAGUAGUGCCCUCAGUCCUAUAGACCCUGGUCUAAAGUAGUGCCCUCAGUCCUAUAGACCCUGGUCUAAAGUAGUGCCCUCAGUCCUAUAGACCCUGGUCUAAAGUAGUGCCCUUAGUCCUAUAGGCCCUGGUCUAAAGUAGUGCCCUCAGUCCUAUAGGUCCUGUUCAAUGGUGCUUCUAAACCAUCUCCAGAGUAGUGCCCUCAGUCCUAUAGACCCUGGUCUAAAGUAGUGCCCUCAGUCCUAUAGACCCUGGUCUAAAGUAGUGCCCUCAGUCCUAUAGACCCUGGUCUAAAGUAGUGCCCUUAGUCCUAUAGGCCCUGGUCUAAAGUAGUGCCCUCAGUCCUAUAGACCCUGGUCUAAAGUAGUGCCCUUAGUCCUAUAGGCCCUGGUCUAAAGUAGUGCCCUUAGUCCUAUAGACCCUGGUCUAAAGUAGUGCCCUUAGUCCUAUAGGCCCUGGUCUAAAGUAGUGCCCUCAGUCCUAUAGACCCUGGUCUAAAGUAGUGCCCUCAGUCCUAUAGACCCUGGUCUAAAGUAGUGCCCUCAGUCCUAUAGGCCCUGGUCUAAAGUAGUGCCCUCAGUCCUAUAGACCCUGGUCUAAAGUAGUGCCCUCAGUCCUAUAGACCCUGGUCUAAAGUAGUGCCCUCAGUCCUAUAGACCCUGGUCUAAAGUAGUGCCCUCAGUCCUAUAGACCCUGGUCUAAAGUAGUGCCCUCAGUCCUAUAGACCCUGGUCUAAAGUAGUGCCCUCAGUCCUAUAGACCCUGGUCUAAAGUAGUGCCCUUAGUCCUAUAGACCCUGGUCUAAAGUAGUGCCCUUAGUCCUAUAGACCCUGGUCUAAAGUAGUGCCCUCAGUCCUAUAGACCCUGGUCUAAAGUAGUGCCCUCAGUCCUAUAGACCCUGGUCUAAAGUAGUGCCCUCAGUCCUAUAGACCCUGGUCUAAAGUAGUGCCCUUAGUCCUAUAGACCCUGGUCUAAAGUAGUGCCCUUAGUCCUAUAGACCCUGGUCUAAAGUAGUGCCCUUAGUCCUAUAGACCCUGGUCUAAAGUAGUGCCCUUAGUCCUAUAGACCCUGGUCUAAAGUAGUGCCCUUAGUCCUAUAGACCCUGGUCUAAAGUAGUGCCCUCAGUCCUAUAGACCCUGGUCUAAAGUAGUGCCCUUAGUCCUAUAGACCCUGGUCUAAAGUAGUGGCCUCAGUCCUAUAGACCCUGGUCUAAAGUAGUGCCCUUAGUCCUAUAGACCCUGGUCUAAAGUAGUGGCCUCAGUCCUAUAGACCCUGGUCUAAAGUAGUGCCCUUAGUCCUAUAGACCCUGGUCUAAAGUAGUGGCCUCAGUCCUAUAGACCCUGGUCUAAAGUAGUGCCCUCAGUCCUAUAGACCCUGGUCUAAAGUAGUGCCCUCAGUCCUAUAGACCCUGGUCUAAAGUAGUGCCCUCAGUCCUAUAGACCCUGGUCUAAAGUAGUGCCCUCAGUCCUAUAGACCCUGGUCUAAAGUAGUGCCCUCAGUCCUAUAGACCCUGGUCUAAAGUAGUGCCCUCAGUCCUAUAGACCCUGGUCUAAAGUAGUGCCCUCAGUCCUAUAGACCCUGGUCUAAAGUAGUGCCCUCAGUCCUAUAGACCCUGGUCUAAAUUAGUGCCCUCAGUCCUAUAGACCCUGGUCGAAAGUAGUGCCCUUAGCCCUAUAGGUCCUGGUCUAAAUUAGUGCCCUCAGUCCUAUAGACCCUGGUCUAAAGUAGUGCCCUCAGUCCUAUAGACCCUGGUCUAAAGUAGUGCCCUCAGUCCUAUAGACCCUGGUCUAAAGUAGUGCCCUCAGUCCUAUAGACCCUGGUCUAAAGUAGUGCCCUCAGUCCUAUAGACCCUGGUCUAAAGUAGUGCCCUCAGUCCUAUAGACCCUGGUCUAAAGUAGUGCCCUCAGUCCUAUAGACCCUGGUCUAAAGUAGUGCCCUUAGUCCUAUAGACCCUGGUCUAAAGUAGUGCCCUCAGUCCUAUAGACCCUGGUCUAAAGUAGUGCCCUUAGUCCUAUAGGUCCUGUUCAAUGGUGCUUCUAAACCAUCUCCAGAGAAGGUUUCCUGUUGUCAUUCAAAAGCCCUUGUGUACCUUUAUAGACGAACAGACAUGCCG